UCGCUAAAUUAGCUGUGUUGUCGUGUGGGAUCUUAGGAAAUGUGGUUUUCUUCUCCUUGAAUACAGAAAUAUUAAAUGACAUGAUGUUCUUGUUACACAAGGUGGAGGCAGGAAUGGAGGUGGAGCAGAGCAGCACUCUGAGAAGGAGUAAGGAGCUGUGGCCAAAGCCUUGAGGAAAGUCAAGGUUGGAGUUGGAAUCUUCCAGUGCUGGGAUCAGGUCUUCCAUUAUGGCAGAUUGGCAUGGGAUUUUGCUGACUCCUUUGAACACCUUUCAGCACAGAUCUGCUGGAGGUGCUGAUGUCUUCCUGGAGAACCCCCUGGCAUGGAGAGACCUGGUUAUUAUUUCCAUAUUGUCCAUUUGCCAAGACACUUGCAGAAUGACCCUCUGGACCUGAUGUCCCUGGGGCCACGUGGCUGGAGCAAAAACCAGCACAUGACAGUUCCAGUGCAGGACUGAGGAGACAAUCUGAGUUUUCCCUUAAAAUAAACCCAAUAUCAAAUGGGUUUGUUUCUAUCCAUCUGUUCUCCCAAGAUAUUUGGACCCAUCAAACCAAGUCCAACAAUGUGAGAAGGUUCUAAUCUGGAUCCUCAGCAGAUUUCUGUAGAAUUGGCAAGUGAGUGAACAAAGGGGACCCAAAGGUGGCAUUUCCAUCACAGAGAAGGUUGGAGGAGCUUGAGUUAUCCCAGAUUGGUGCCUGGACCUUCACAUGCCCAUCAGUUUAGGAAUGCUGGAGAUGGUUCACACACAGCCCUCAGGAAGCUGCAGUGACCCAGCCACGAGGUUUAAGAACUCCAGGGCAGCAGGAACAGGAAUAUGAAAGGAGGGAGUUGGACUAAGUGGCAAAGUUCCCAAGUUAUCCAUAGAGCUGUGGUUUCUCCAUUCCCAGAGCUGCCCCAGCAGAAACUACUAGUAAAGUUAAAGGUCUUCAAUGCAGCAAGUUCCCUUUUCCUCCUGUUGUUCCAAUGGUGUCCUGCUGUCCUGGCUGUGUGA
RNAcentral lists this long non-coding RNA (991 nucleotides) under Taeniopygia guttata (zebra finch). Its description in RNAcentral is "lncRNA (ENSTGUG00000018977.1)". Lineage: Eukaryota; Metazoa; Chordata; Aves; Passeriformes; Estrildidae. The record is from RNAcentral.